GGAGUUCUUAACCUGCUAGUUGGCUGACCUUUGACAGACUUGCAGUAUUGCAUUGCUGUGUGACUUGAUUUUCCCAUUGGGAAAAAUGAGGAAGCUGUGCGUACCAGAGGGAGGAACGAGCCAGGGAGACAGACUGGAACCACCUCAGAAGCUUUGCCCCUCAGCCCGGAACCUGCCCUGUCUCCUCCCAGCUGAUGAGGACAAGUCCAGCCUGCGCUUGGGGAUCCUUCGUACGACCGUUCAGUGGUGAGUAGGUAUGACAGCAUUUUCUGAUUUC
Molecule: long non-coding RNA, 277 nt
Filed under: Saimiri boliviensis boliviensis (Bolivian squirrel monkey)
Lineage: Eukaryota; Metazoa; Chordata; Mammalia; Primates; Cebidae
Description: lncRNA (ENSSBOG00000036779.1)
Source: RNAcentral